GAGGGUCCAGGGUUCAAGUCCCUGU
Molecule: non-coding RNA, 25 nt
Filed under: Xenopus tropicalis (tropical clawed frog)
Lineage: Eukaryota; Metazoa; Chordata; Amphibia; Anura; Pipidae
Also listed under: 3 other names
Source: RNAcentral